RNAcentral lists this ribosomal RNA (254 nucleotides) under uncultured bacterium. RNAcentral describes it as "partial 16S ribosomal RNA". It matches the Rfam family "Bacterial small subunit ribosomal RNA", at positions 524 to 776 of the family's 1533-position model. The record is from RNAcentral.
UACGUAGGUGGCAAGCGUUGUCCGGAUUUACUGGGCGUAAAGGGCGCGUAGGCGGCCACCGCAAGUCGAUUGUGAAAUCUCCGGGCUUAACCCGGAAAGGUCAACCGAUACUGCGGGGCUAGAGUGCAGAAGGGGCAACUGGAAUUCUCGGUGUAGCGGUGAAAUGCGUAGAUAUCGAGAGGAACACCUGCGGCGAAGGCGGGUUGCUGGGCUGACACUGACGCUGAAGUGCGAAAGCUAGGGGAGCGAACGGG